RNAcentral lists this ribosomal RNA (439 nucleotides) under uncultured bacterium. RNAcentral describes it as "partial 16S ribosomal RNA". It matches the Rfam family "Bacterial small subunit ribosomal RNA", at positions 339 to 795 of the family's 1533-position model. The record is from RNAcentral.
CUACGGGAGGCUGCAGUGAGGAAUAUUGCACAAUGGGGGGAACCCUGAUGCAGCAACGCCGCGUGGAGGAUGACGCAUUUCGGUGUGUAAACUCCUUUUAUAUGUCAAGAAAAUGACGGUAGCAUAUGAAUAAGCACCGGCUAACUCCGUGCCAGCAGCCGCGGUAAUACGGAGGGUGCAAGCGUUACUCGGAAUCACUGGGCGUAAAGGACGUGUAGGCGGGUUGGAAAGUCAGGUGUGAAAUCCUACAGCUUAACUGUAGAACUGCACUUGAAACUUCUAAUCUAGAGGAUGGGAGGGGGAGAUGGAAUUAGUGGUGUAGGGGUAAAAUCCGUAGAUAUCACUAGGAAUACCUAAAGCGAAGGCGAUCUCCUGGAACAUUACUGACGCUAAGGCGUGAAAGCGUGGGGAGCAAACAGGAUUAGAUACCCGCGUAGUC